Molecule: ribosomal RNA, 673 nt
Filed under: uncultured bacterium
Lineage: Bacteria
Description: bacterial SSU rRNA
Rfam family: Bacterial small subunit ribosomal RNA
Source: RNAcentral
AGUGGCAGACGGCUUAGUAACGCGUGGGUAUCUACCUAGAGGUUUGGAACAACUAUUGGAAACGAUAGCUAAUACCAAAUAUUCCCUAAGGGGGAAAGAUUUAUUGCCUUUAGAUGAGCCCGCGUCGGAUUAGCUAGUUGGUAGGGUAAAAGCCUACCAAGGCUACGAUCCGUAGCUGGUCUGAGAGGAUGAUCAGCAAGAUUGGGACUGAGACACGGCCCAGACUCCUACGGGAGGCAGCAGUGGGGAAUAUUGCGCAAUGGGGGAAACCCUGACGCAGCGAUGCCGCGUGAGUGAAGAAGGCCUUAGGGUUGUAAAACUCUUUCACCGGUGAAGAUAAUGACGGUAGCCGGAGAAGAAGCCCCGGCUAACUCCGUGCCAGCAGCCGCGGUAAUACGGAGGGGGCUAACGUUGUUCGGAAUUACUGGGCGUAAAGCGCGCGUAGGCGGAUUAGACAGUUGAGGGUGAAAUCCCGGAGCUUAACUCCGGAACUGCCUUCAAUACUACUAAUCUUGAGUUCGGAAGAGGUGAGUGGAAUUCCUAGUGUAGAGGUGAAAUUCGUAGAUAUUAGGAAGAACAUCAGUGGCGAAGGCGACUCACUGGUCCGAUACUGACGCUGAGGUGCGAAAGCGUGGGGAGCAACAUGAUUAGAUACCCUGUUAGUCCACGCCGU